This 68-nucleotide transfer RNA is filed under the name Tegillarca granosa. Its description in RNAcentral is "tRNA-Val". Lineage: Eukaryota; Metazoa; Mollusca; Bivalvia; Arcoida; Arcidae. The record is from RNAcentral.
UUUGGAGGUAGUAUACAAAGUAUGCUUGUCUUACACACAAGAGGUGUUAUUAAUUGGCCCUCUGAAAC